Molecule: long non-coding RNA, 623 nt
Organism: Esox lucius (northern pike)
Lineage: Eukaryota; Metazoa; Chordata; Actinopteri; Esociformes; Esocidae
Exons: 2
Source: RefSeq, a predicted model, not a curated record
UCAGCUAGAAUUAUCUCUCUAGCAUCAUAAGUCCUGUCGUUUGAUUCCAAGAGAGGGUGGAUUUUUCUUGUGUAACCUGAUAAACGUUCUAUAUUUUUUGUUGCAUGUAGAAUGUCAGCAAAAAAGGAAUGGCUCAAACAUCUGCAAGCAUUAUUUAAGAAUGAUUAUAGUUCAAAUGGAAUUUAUACCCUUAUCCUUAUAUUCUUGGAAAAGAUCAUGGAGUUUGAGUUUACAUGUACCUGCAAUUAUAAAACGAAAAAACUCCAUGUGGGGGCAUAUUUUUUGGUUCCUGCAUUGUUGGCAUGUGCAUUGAUGGUGAAAAUACAAGUACCUGUUGAGGGCAAUACAAUAAAUAUAUCCUUGAUCUGCAAAUGCAUUUAUCCUUCCUUGAUGUGGUUCAUCAUAUUGUUUUUGGAUGGCCGGUAUUUGGCUUGUUUACAAUCAACCUGGACUGGCACUUCAAAUGGUUUACCUCUACAAUGGUGUAAGCCAGCAGACAAUGCAACAAAUCAAAUGGAUCUCCAAGAGGAAUUCAACAAUAAAAGGAGUAUUUCUCAGAUAACUGGUUUUGUUCUCCUUCUGAUAAUCGUUUUUGUUGUGGCAUAUUCCAUGUACAACGACUA